This 327-nucleotide long non-coding RNA is filed under the name Vulpes vulpes (red fox). RNAcentral's name for it is "lncRNA (ENSVVUG00000025589.1)". The record is from RNAcentral. Lineage: Eukaryota; Metazoa; Chordata; Mammalia; Carnivora; Canidae.
AUGAGGUGGAGGGAAUAUAGAACAUCAGAUAUGUAUACCAUCAAGAUUUGUGUUAUGAAGGGACUCAACAAAAGAUCACUCAUACUGAGCAAAUCUAGAAGCAGUUCUGCUGCUGAUCCUGAAUUAAAAUAAACUUUUCACAAUUCAAAGAAGAAAUUAGAGACAUGAUUUUUUUUUCAAUUAAAGUUAUUCUUCAUUAAAUUUCUGUCCUGAAAUUGCCCACCUGACUGGAAAGACAUAGAUGUGACAAAAAUAGAACUUGGAAACGCCAAGUUUCACUCCAUGUGAAAGGGUUUAAGUGCAGGUGUCUGCAGGGGUGGUGACCUU